This 448-nucleotide ribosomal RNA is filed under the name uncultured soil bacterium. RNAcentral's name for it is "bacterial SSU rRNA". It matches the Rfam family "Bacterial small subunit ribosomal RNA", at positions 26 to 518 of the family's 1533-position model. The record is from RNAcentral.
AGAGCGAACGCUGGCGGCAGGCCUAACACAUGCAAGUCGAACGGACCCUUCGGGGUUAGUGGCGGACGGGUGAGUAACACGUGGGAACGUGCCUUUUGGUUCGGAAUAGCUCCUGGAAACGGGUGGUAAUGCCGAAUGUGCCCUUCGGGGGGAAAGAUUUAUCGCCAUUAGAGCGGCCCGCGUCUGAUUAGCUAGUUGGUGAGGUAAAGGCUCACCAAGGCUACGAUCAGUAGCUGGUCUGAGAGGAUGACCAGCCACAUUGGGACUGAGGCACGGCCCAAACUCCUACGGGAGGCAGCAGUGGGGAAUCUUGCGCAAUGGGCGAAAGCCUGACGCAGCCAUGCCGCGUGAAUGAUGAAGGUCUUAGGAUUGUAAAAUUCUUUCAGUAGGGACGAUAAUGACGGUACCUACAGAAGAAGACCCCGGCUAACUUCGUGCCAGCAGCCGC